Molecule: ribosomal RNA, 460 nt
Filed under: uncultured bacterium
Lineage: Bacteria
Description: partial 16S ribosomal RNA
Rfam family: Bacterial small subunit ribosomal RNA
Source: RNAcentral
CCUACGGGAGGCAGCAGUGAGGAAUAUUGGUCAAUGGGCUCACGCCUGAACCAGCCAAGUCGCGUGCGGGAAGACUGCCCUAUGGGUUGUAAACUUCUUUUGUACGGGAGCAACGCCGGCUACGUGUAGCCGGACUGAGAGUACCUGAAGAUAAAGCAUGGCUUAACCCCGUGCAAGCAGCGUCGGUAAUACGGAGAAUGCGACCGUUAUCCGGAUUUUUUGGGUUAAAGGGGUGCGUAGGCGGAAUGUCAAGUCAGCGGGAAAAUCCGGGGGCUCAACCUCGCUCCGCCGUUGAAACUGGCGUUCUUGAGUGGGCGAGAGGUAUGCGGAAUGCGUGGUGUAGCGGUGAAAUGCAUAGAUAUCACGCAGAACUCCGAUUGCGAAGGCAGCAUACCGGCGCCCAACUGACGCUGAAGCACGAAAGCGUGGGUAUCGAACAGGAUUAGAUACCCCGGUAGUC